UUUACCUACAAGUAGAAUAUGACAGUAAAAAUUACACCGAGGUCUCUACCACUCAGUCUGCAUUCAAUCUUUAAUCUGCAUUCAAAUUCUGCAUUCAAACCUUUAAUCUCCGCGCUUACAUUCUCUGAUUGAUAUCAAGUCCUACACAGUCCUCAUCGUACUCAAGAUUAUUGAGCUCAGUUACUAUGGAGUCACCACCGAAGACAGAAGCUCUCAUUAAAGAUGUAUGAGAACUAUCAGCUAUAUUUUAAAGUCUGAAAGUAAGAUGGAGUAAAUAUUGCCUUUCAAGAAAAUAAUAUUCCAAAGGUAGCAACUGUGGAAGGCUAUUUAAGUAUGUUCUACUCAGUGAUAAAUCAGCAUUCUUACCUGGAUUACCUGAUCUGCAAAUUUAACUCAAGUCUGAGUUUUUACUUUCUCCUCUAAGAGUCAUGCGGCGCCCUGAGUUGCAACUAAUUAAACUCUAAGCAAUUCUGCUGAUCACCCUCUCCAGUACAGCCACCACGUGAGCCCAUUAACUGCAACCAAUUAUCACGGUGAAGACAAGGCCCAAGUAGAGUUGGUGCAGGAAGAGAAAGAAAGACAACUAUUCCUUCAUUUUUCCUGUCUUCUGCUCUCCUCCCACUUGAAGGGCCAUAACAUUCAACACCUUUUUAACAAAAAUCUUAUUUCAACCUUGAAUACGAAAAGUACUAUAUUUAAAAUAAACAAAGCAACAGAACUUAAACUGAUCUGCCUUAAGUGAACAAACUACUUCAGCGUAAGUGAUCAGGACCACUUUCUCUUAAGCGUCUGAUUCCUCAUUUAACAGGCUGAACACAGCAGUAUCACCAGAUGAAAUACGAUCAGAACAGAGGGGAGAGCAGAUGGAUUACGGCACAAACCAGCAAGGCAUUUCCCUUGCACUGCAUCUCUAGACAUUCUGCAUGCAAAGCAAGAACACAAAAAAGAUGCAGGGAAAACAGUUCAGGAAGUACAACCGAACUAUGGUCCUCAGCCAAAAGACUACUCACAUUUCCAGAGCUCUGUUAACUACGACAACGAGGAGGGUAAUUCGCAGCAGUUCCAGAAAAGACGAAGUCAUACAAUAUGGAUCAACACUGUGCCCUUCUUAGAAGCUAGAAGGAUGUACCAAGAUGCCUUCCAGAAACUAAGAACCAAACCCUCUCCUUCACAUCCCCUCUGUCACACCCCCUCAGGCCACGGAGGACUAACUAAAAGGAGGCCUUCACAAGAUGUCUGAGCUGAUGUAACAGCAAGCCAGAGCCACUCUGAAAAGAGCAGUACUGCCAGAAAGCAGCAUUCCCCUAUUCCCCAAAAUCCGUAGUCAUACGUUCCUGCAGCUCUUUCGCACUGACACCUGCUGAUUUGGUUGUAAGUCCUCAGCAAAUACCCAGUUCUGCUGAAUUUCCAUCAGCUCGGCUCGUGGGGGUGUCUGCCCCGGCACCAAGUGACAGCAGGAUAAGGAAGGGACAGCCUUUUUCCUUAGUGGCUUACUGCACAUCAAUUCCACAGUACCCAGAAAAAAAACACUUUCUAAAGCUACAGCUAGCCACAAAUUUGUCAGUUUAUUGACAAACCUAAUGUAUAAAUGGAUGGUUCUUCUCCUAGCAUAAGUAGUUUAGCGUGCGUAGCAUUCUACCAGUCCUGACCAGGACAUGAAGCUGCCAUGUACAUCUACACUCCUGAUUUUUUUUUUAUUAUUAUUAGUUUUUCCUUAGGAAAGGAAUAUAAGUUAGAGAUAGACCAUGAAAAUGAAUGCCUGGCCAGAAAGAACAAGAGGCAGCCUGACAGAGGAGGCAGCUGGUGGCAGUGAGCAUCAUCUUCUGUAGCAGCCAUCUCUAACUGCUCAUCCUUUUCCACUGCGUUUUCCUGCAGCAGCAGACGUGGUCGGUCUCUGCUUCAAAAGCUGCCAGCAAGCAGAAGACGACUUCCAGCUGCCCUUGAGAAACUGCUCUCUCCUCUCUCCCAUGGACUGGGCACAAACAGAAUAGCUCAGCCGGAAGGGACCAUUCUAAGACUCUCCAGUCCAAAAGUAAAACAAAGCCUCUUAAAACAGCAAAAUAAGGAUAACCUACAUAUAAGCACAGCAGCGUAAGAUAUAAGAUAGCGAUGUUUUCUCACUUCCCCCCAUCACCAUCUUUUUGCUGGUUUGUUCAUUAGAAGAGAAAGAUUACCCUAUAUAAUUCUAAACUCUCAAAAACAAUGUUGAUAUACUAAAAAUGGAAUAAUACAUCAAGUUCUAUACAUGAAGUUGUCAUUAAGUUGUGCACCGACCCCAGACCGUGAUUAUACCAAUUCCAUGCACCCUUCACGUAGUAAUCCUCCUGAAGGGGAUUUUACUAAACCACAGUGAACACUGAACUCUACAUUACAGAUUUGCUCAAACAGCUGGAACAAUCUAAAUCCAGAAUAAAAGAAGGGAUCACUGACAUGUAGUUUUGCUAUCUUAUGGUCAACAGGAAUGAAAUCACACACAGAAGAAUCCACUAAAAAGCAGUAUAAUAGAAAACACAGGAGAAACAGGUAGAUAGAUGUAACUGAAUCAAUACAACAGCCUAACUUCUUUCUUCUCAUUUAGCAUAAGUUUGAAGUAUGUCACCUAAAAAUACACAAAAGGAUCCUGUGUCACUCUCUCACAUUAAGAAAAUAGAAAGUUAUGACAGUAAAACCACCACUCAAAUCAGAAUUAGUAAAACUUGAGAAUUAGCUCCUUCUGUGACUAGCACGGCAAAGACUGAUUGUUUUUAGUAUAACUUAAUUUGCUCAGUUUUAAGUAAGAAUUUAUUAAAAGUAUUUUAGCAAAAAAGCAAAUAUUUUUAGCGUAAAAGCCUUGCUGUCUCAAAGAGCCUGAAGAAUAAUACUGAAAUUCUACUGAAAAAAUACCAAUGAUAUAUUUGAGCAUUAUUAUUCAAUAAAUUGGAAGCACCUUAGACACUAUCUUAAAGGCUUCCCAUUUUCCAUGUGGAAGAUACACAAACUGGAAGCAGAAGUCCAGAGAAACCAAAUGUUUUAAGACUUCUUUUUUUAAAUGUAAACUAGAACACAUCACAACUGAAUCCUUAUGUUGAAUAAAGUACUUUUUUCCAUCCAAAAAUCUGAUUUUUAUGAUUUUAAUGGUUUAAAGGUCUUUCAGUUUUUCAGCUUUAAAAGCAGGAAGUCUGGAAAGAAGUCAUCAUACAACGGUGCAUCGUAAGAAAGAGCACCAAAAAGAAAAAACAACCACUGAACCCCAAAUAAUUUCAAGGAACCCACAAAGAAAGCUCCACCAAACAACAGAAACAUUAAGUAACCAUAAAAAUAAGCUGGGACAUCUAGGAGAAUAGCGGGCUUUCAUUUCAACACAAGUGCACAAGCAAUGCACUUACAAAUUUGCACCUUAGAACGAAAAACAAUCCAGCCUCACGUUCACUGUUAUUGCACUCAUUCUGCUAACUCAGCAGCAAUAGCCAGGAAUGCCUAGGAGUCAGUGUCGUGUUCCUUCUUACUCGGUACGCUUGGAAAAGGUGCCCAAAAGGCUUUCUGUUUCUUGCCACCUCUUUUCAAAUCCUUGAAAGCUUACAUGUGUUUCAGUUCCAACUUGCACUGAAAAUAAUACCCUAGAAUUACUCUGAGCUUAAAAAUACUUGCAAAUCUGCUUGCUUUUAAAGCCUAUGUACUCCUUAAGGGUUUUUUUAGCCAGUUUUUGCAAUCAGGUUAAGACACCUUGACAGUUUUAUGAUUUUUAGAAGGUUAUGCAUUAUCACCAAAGCUUUAAGUUUUAGGAGAUGCACCCCAGGGCUUUUUACUGCAAUACAGUUCUACCAGCGUCCUUUUACCACUGCAGUUAGUGUUGUCACUUCACAUUGCAGCUGAAUUCCUCAAACACAGGAUGGAUAAGCCAACAAUUUAAAAGCAAGGUGACCUAUUAUUCUGUACUCCACCGACACAGAAACAGUGAAGCAGUUGAUAAAGAAUCCCAAAAAUGAAUUAAAGAAUAACAUCAAUUAGCUACCUUUGUGGAAAACAAUCUUGCCAAAGCAAAGUAGCAAUUACACACUUAUAACUUGAAAGGACCUGCAGCAAGGUUCAGUCUCAGAUUCUCUCCAAGCUGCCAGUACAAAGCUCUGGGGCUUUGUUUAAUUUGUUUGUUGUUUUUUUUUCCCCCGUCAGUACAGAAUAUCCCAAUCAGAAAGAGCAACAUGUGACUGUCAUUGAUACCUGUUGGCUAAAACCGUCAAAAAGCAAUCCUCUAAGGUAACUCUUUUCUAAGCGUAAAACAAACAAGCAUGUGUGCAGAUUAAGUCAUUCCGUAUGAACUGAUGCUGUUCAAUGCCAUUAAAUAAGUGAAACAAUUUUCUGCUUUGAAGACAAGCUGCCAUCGUCCAUCAAAGAAAUCUUAAGAGUUUUACAGAUUACUUGAUAAAAAACAACGGUGCAACAUAUACGCUUUAACAAGCUAAAAUUCAAUAUUUUCAUCGUCCACAAGAGGGAAAAAAGAUGUACUUUGGGAACUCGUGUAGCAGCAAACAGGUACUAGUAACCUUUAAAACUUCAAUAACUAACCAAAGAGCUUUCAACUGAAAGCAAAAUUUUACUGAAAGCUACUGAACCACUAAGACAUGCUCCAAAGAAUUCCUAUGACCACAGAACACAUGAAAAUAACACAAUAUAUGAAAACAGAAGUCUUUAAGAAAAUGAAAUAGUACCCUAUUACUUCAGAUUUCUGUUAGAGAAAAACGUUUUCAGAAAGUCCCCUCAAAUAUUAGGAGAGCCAGAGUAUUUUCAAGGAAUAGGAUUCCACAAAUCAGAGAGCGAACAGCAAAAACAUCUCCCCAAAAAUAAACUUGCAAGAGCUAAACAAGGAGGACAGCAAAGGGAAGAUAAUACUAGAAUUGCUUGAAGGAGACCUGGAAUGGGGAAAGGAAAAAACAAAAGUUCAAGAUGUCCAGAACUGUAAGGAAAAAAGCAGAGCCACUGAUCUGAGGAGACUACACAACCAUGAACCAUCAGAAUCAUGCCCCUUGCAUUAUUUCCUUUAAAAUACUUCUGCUGUUCUCUGCACUAUCUGAAUAUCCAUUGUCUAAUCACAGUUAACGCAGGCAACGUGGAAUAAAGGACUUCAGAAAGGGGUGGGCAAGGAGAAGUCAAGUUAUUUCCCUGAAGCAGCAAACUGCCUGCUGUCAUGGAACAGGCUGACGGCAUAGUCCUGCCCCUCGCCCUUGAGCUACCUCUGGUGCUGUAUAGUAAUAUAAUUUGCUGACUUAGCAAAAAAUCCAAUCACUCAGGAGUUGGCUAAAUUUUCUGCUGAGUUAACAAGACAAGUUGGCUCACUGUGAAGUCCGAGAAGCACCCCAGCUUGGCACAAGAACACACAAGUGGAAGCAGAAAGCAAGGACAUUCUCCUUUAGCAGCAGCAGGUGCUAGACGGACUCUGACAAUUUGUAACCGCACACUGGGUAGUGUAAAACAUGGGCUACUUCCCCCAAAUCGAAUAGGCUUCAUGAUGAGGACCCUCACUUAUCCUGGAGUACCAAGGCAGUUCACUGAAAGAGAAGCAAUGCUGUAAUAAAUCAGUGAGAACCUGAAACACAUUCUUCAAAUCUGUAAGAGGAUAAACAUGCCACCUUAAAGAAACAGGUGGUACGGACAGCAAAAUAAAAACUAAAGACCACUUAGUCCAGAUUUAGUUUCCAAAGGAAGAAGAAAAACAUCAGCACAUUAGCUAAAUGUCCAGAAAAUAAGAUGCUAAAAGAUGAGCAUGUAAUAAAUACGGACAUGUCAAAGAACAACCAAGCCACACAAACCUUUCUUUCCACACCAGGAUAGGCUUUUUCCAAAGACAGAAACAUGGCGUAGUAACAGCAAACAGUGAACAGUUUUCCCUCUUCUGUAUUCAAAUCAAUAUCAACACGAAAGGCCCUAUGCUGUGGUAUUCAGGAAGGAUCCCUCCUCUGAACACGACUGUUUGUGGUUUCACCCAGCAGGCAGCUCAGCACCACACAGCUCUUCACUCACCCCCUAACUGGGGUGGGUGGACAGGGGAGAGAAUCAAAAAAGAUAAAACCCGGGGGAUGAGAUGAAGACAGUUUAAUAGGGCAGAAACAAGGCACAAUGACAGUAAUAAAGAAAUGUACAAGACAAGUGACACACAAUGCAAGUGCUCACCACCCACUGAUCGAUGCCCAGCCAGACCCCAAGCCCCAGGCAGCAGCACCACCACCCCAGCCAACCCCCCCAAUUUAUUGUCUAGCAUGACACCAUGUGGUAUGGGACAUCCUUCUGGUCAGCCUGGGUCACCUGUCCUGCUUCUGUCCCCUCCCAGCUCCUUGUGCACCCCCAGCCUCCUUGCUGGCAGGGCAGCACGAGCAGCAAAGUCCUUGGCUCUGCGUGAGCCCUGCUCUGCCACAGCUAAAACAUCGGCGUGUUAUCAGAGUUAUUCUCAUCCUAAAUCCAAAACACAGCAAGGUAACAGCUACCAGAACAAAGCUACAGUACAGCCAGUACAGUUAUCCCUGACAAAACCAGGAGAGUAUCCACCCCUUAUUCCGUAUCAUCCAUGUCAUGCUUAGGUCCCGUGCUUUCCAACGCAUCCCACAGUCACCACCACCUUUUUUGCCUGUUGAUAGAUACGCACAGAUAUCACGCUCCCUUGGUCUAUGGGCCAUCCCCCUAAAGGGUCUGUUGGCUUCAUUUAGUUCAUAAAUUCAGGCUCCAUCUGUCAUAACAGUCCUUCAGGGCAGGAGAAAUGGCGUGUGGUAUAGGAUUGUCACAUGCUGAAGCCACGGCUGGUUCCAUCAAAAUCCAUUUUUCGUUAAUCUGCGUGAUUCCUACUGUAAUCCCAGUGAGGUGGCAUGUAGCCAACUCGGGAUGACAUACAUAACUGCACAGCAAUUAACAUCGUACAAAUCAAAUCAUUUGCUGCUCUUGCCCAACAUCAAAUCCCCCUGAGGUACACACCAGAAUUCCCCAUUCUUCCACAUUACCCACCACGUGCACCCAGGUCCCUGAGCAAAAGCAACCCCACGGAUGGGUCUGCCUUAGCCCAAGGCACGAGUAGCCCAGACUGCCUUCCCCAGCACAUCCUUUAUGUGCACUGCGGGGACUUGAUCCCCUUCUACAGUACGUAACAGGCUUGACUGGGCAGGGUCAGAUCCCCUAGUGCUGACUAGUGUGUAUCCCAAUGUUUGAGUGUCCCAGCACCCAUCACCUUCAGUGUAGUCUUCAACAGUCCGUUGUAUCGCUCGAUUUUCCUGGAGGCUGGUGCGUGACAGGGGAUGUGAUACACCCAUCCGAUGCCGUGCUUUUUGGCCCUGGUAUCUAUGAGAUUGUUUUGGACAUGAGUCCCACUGUCUGACUCAAUUGUUUCUGGGGCGCCACGUUGCUCAAAGACUUGUUUUUCAAGGCCCAGGAUGGUGGUCUGGGUGGUGGCAAGGGGCAUGGAUGUGUUUCAUUUCCAGCCGCCCAGUGGUUGCUUCCACCAUGUUAAAUACACGGUGCUAGCCAGGGCGGGUUUGUGGGACUGUGAUAUAAUCCACCUGCCAGGCCUCCCAUGCUGAUAUUCCAGCCACCACCCUCCAUACCAGAGGCUUUAACUGCUCGCCUCACUUAAUUGCGGCACGUUUCACAACCAUGGAUAACCUGUGCAAUAGCGCCCAUGGUCAGGCCCACCCCUCGAUCACGAGCCCAUCUGUAUGUUCCAUCUCUGCCUUGAUGGCCCGAGGUGUCACGGGCCCACUGAGCUGUAAAUAACUCACCUGUAUGUUGCCAGUCCGCAUCCACCUGAGCCACUUCAAUCUUAGCAGCCUGAUCCACCUGCUGGCUGUUUUUUGACAGCAGCCCAACUCUCGGGUACAUGAGCAUCUACAUGGCGUAUGUUUACAGACAGGUUCUCUGCAUCUUGCCACAACGCAGCAGCCCAGAUAGGUUUGCCCCUGCGCUGCCAGUUGCCCUGCUGCCGUUGCUGCAACCACCCCCCCAGGGCAUUUGCUACCAUCCAUGUGUCAGUACGGAGAUAGAGAACUGGCCCCUUGUGCCUUUCAGCAAUACCCAAAGCCAGCUGGAUGGCUCUCACUUCUGUAAAUUGGCUCCAUUCACCUUCUCCUUCAGCAGUCUGUGACACGUCCUGUAGGACUCCAUACAGCAGCCUUCCGCCUCCGACGCUUCCCCACAAUACGACAGCAGGGAACAGGGCACAUUGCUUCUCAUCUUCUGGUAGCUUGCUGUACAGUGGGGCUUCUUCAGCACGGGCCGCCACCUCCUCUGACGAUAUUCUGCAAUCUUUGCCUUCUGGCCAGUCCACGAUCACUCCCAAGAUCCCUGAGCAACUGGGGUUUCCUAUUCGAACCCAUUGUGUGAUCAGAGCGAAAGCAGAGAGCUGUAUCAGAUAUCUGUACAUGGAAUUGCAUAUGAAAAUAAAAAGCUUAGCAGGAGCUAAGGAGCUCACAAACUGCCCUGAAAAAGGCAGGAGUAGACAACCAAGAGCAGUCACUUGAAGCAAUCCUCUCAUGCUCCUUGACAAUAACAUGCCAGAGGGACACUGCCCUCUUUCAGUACCCUAUUUUACAAAAAAAAAAAAGGCUGACUGAAUAGUGUAAAGGGAGAGGAUUAAGACUGAUAAGUGUACGACACAUCGCGGUAGGCUAAAAUAGCCAACAUGACUUGACCUAGAGAGGAGGUAAGGGAGCUGGUAAGUGAUCUUCAGACACAGAACACUAGGAAAAAAGCAUAUGCUGUUUGCCGUGUCCACUGCUGAUCAGAAUAAAAAGCCUAGCAGGAGGAUUGAGAUAAGAACAAGAAAAGACUGUUCAACAGAUUCCCCUGGGAAACAUGAAAUCACCCAGAGACCUCCAGCAAGCACAUCAGACACGCAUUAAUCAGAUAAGGUUUAAAAUACUCAAGUCUUGGCUUGAAACACUGGAAUUGUUUUGUAUAGCUCAGUUUCUUCUACUCCACAUGUACCAGUAAGUUGUCUCUGAUUUUUCCUGCGUUUCAGCCUUGUCCCACUCUGCUAAGCAUUGUUACUGUCAAAUCUUGAAGAGUGUGAGCUGUGGGGUUUUAGCAAGACACUAAAAAUGUACACUUAGCCAGCAUGAAGACACAGUAAUAGUUUCAAAAUGUGCCUCAAGAGCACAUAAAAUGCUUAUCUGAAGUGAUGUAAGCUGCAAGCAGGUGGCAAAAGCUGAUUCUUUGUUCUCUGAAAUGCUCGUAAGAACUUGACAAGUAAGAUUCACAGCUGUGAGGUAACUGAUGCAGCUCUGCAACCUACAAAGAUGAAUGAACCUAGGGAUGUACCUACAGCACAGCCUGAAAGAGCGACUUACAGGAUACAAGGACACCCAUAAUAAUUCUAUUUUGCCUAGCUGUAGGAACAGUCUGAGACUGUUCACAGCAACUGUUCACUCUUGGAGACUGUUCACAGCAACAGAACUGUUACAUCAACUAAAAAAAAUAAGAAUUUAUUCAUGAGCACUUAAACAUAGGUGCAAGACCCGUGACACGCAACUCCCCAGUUCCCCUCUCCCCAAAUUUAAAAGCUAACUCUGAUGAGAUGAUCAAUUCCAGCUGAAGCUCCCCUCUCCUGUACCCACUGCAACUUCUCUCACAUGUUUUUCCCCAUUUCUAAUCUCCCACCAAGUGGAAACAUGUUACACUUAUAAGCAGAAAAGAAGAAAAGCUGAGAGGGCUUUUUCAAGUCUGUAACUGUGAGGCCAGUAUUUCCAUUACAGUUAGCAGGACCCCAGCUAUUUUAAUCCCAUUAUCAGAACUCACCGUGGAAUCUGCCUGAUAAACAACCACCAAAACUCAUCUGCCACAAAGCACGAAGUGGAAGCUUACCGAAUAGCAUUGAAAUAAUCAAGUAGAAAAAAAACACACACCUCUGAUACAAUACGAUACCUUCUGCUUCAGGCUUAGCUCACUCCUUUCCAUUGACUUUUUGGAAACGUACAUUUUUAGAUCUUUUUAAAUAGAUUUUAGGUUUGUCAGACUGAUUGCACACACUACAAAGAUCUCAAAAAUGCUCAAGAACUUCAUCUCCUAAAGUGAGCCUCGUUUCAGUGUUUUAGCUGAAAUUAGCAAAGCAAGAGCUGUGUUUAAGGCUAAAGAAGAUUGAGAUAGUCAAAGCAAACCAGAUAAACUGAAGUGUAGCAUACAACUCCUAGACACUGGACACGCAGCUCAGAACAACGUGGAGCACAGCGGUACAGAGCUUUUCCAGUGCAAGAACAGAAAACUACAUUUAAAGUGUCAUGGAAACACACUGCAACAAUGAGUAAGAAUCCCUUCAAGAUCCACAGAGAACUCAGCAAAAACAGAAAGUAUUAUCAAUCUGCAUAAUUAAGUAACAAAUUACAUAACCAUUUACUACUAUUUUUUUAAUAAAGUUAAAGGCAGAAAACAG
Cygnus olor (mute swan) is the source of this 10378-nucleotide long non-coding RNA. RefSeq lists it as uncharacterized. The transcript is spliced from 2 exons. Lineage: Eukaryota; Metazoa; Chordata; Aves; Anseriformes; Anatidae. The record is from RefSeq and is a predicted model, not a curated record.